AAUACAUAUUCUUUCUUUUCGUUUGACUUCCUCUUUUUCACAUAUUUUUGCACUUUUAAAAAUUUGGAGAUAAAAGAUUUUCUCAAUGUUUUUCAUUUCAUGAUUUUCCCAAUAUUUUUCGGCUCGUCAUAAUGCUUCGAUCUCACCCCUUCUAUGCCAACUGUUGAAUUACGGAUAUGGGUCAACCAUAUGGACCCGACACGACCCGACACGUUUAUCUUAGUCAGAACAUAAGAUUAACAGAUAAUCUUAAUUAAAAAAAGGAGAACGGUUAUAACUAUUCCAGCCCAAAAAGACCCCUAUAUGAUCUCUUUUCUCUUUUUCUGACAAAGGCAAGAAACAAAUAUACAGAGAAAAAAAUUGAAUCGAAAAACAAGCAAUUGAAAUUAACAAAAACGUCAGAGCAUUUACUUGGUGAAACAAUUGCGUUUCCAAGAGAAACGAAGUGGACUUGGGGCAGAUCCUUUCAGAAGCAAAAACAAUUUUCACUGUGAAUUUAAGAAAUGGCUGAACGGGGACAAAGUCGAAUCACUCCAAGUGGGAGUUCUGGAUGUCGAGCAAAGAGACAAGGUACAAGGGCACAUCGUCGAAGGACAUAUUUUUGAGGUCGUGAGAUCAUAUGAAAUGGUGUCCCCAGGGCGACACAAAAUCUGUUACGGAAUGAAAGAACAAUACGAAGGGAAAGAGAAAAGAAAUUGAAAGAGUUCAAGUCUUUUAAGAUGUCACCUAACAUUAGUGUUGCUAGUUUUAUACAUCUAUUUGAAAUGAAACGUGUAGAACUAGAAAACUAUGUAGAAAUUUCGGAUUGAGAAGCAUUAGCUAUAUUAGCAAAUUCUCUUCAUGAUCCUUGGUGCGAGAGAUUAAUUGAUGUUUACCAGGAGAUUUGGCCUAGCGAGCCUUUUUAGGUGUACAUAAGUCGUCUAGAAUAUUUGUGGAAUGACUUUUAUUUUUAGAUUGACUUGUAACAUAAAGUUAUUUAUUAACUUCAUAUUAUGUAUAUAUAUUAAGUUGUUUA
Molecule: long non-coding RNA, 1015 nt
Organism: Capsicum annuum
Lineage: Eukaryota; Viridiplantae; Streptophyta; Magnoliopsida; Solanales; Solanaceae
Exons: 2
Source: RefSeq, a predicted model, not a curated record